Long non-coding RNA from Ostrea edulis (European flat oyster), 526 nucleotides. RefSeq lists it as uncharacterized. The record is from RefSeq and is a predicted model, not a curated record. The transcript is spliced from 3 exons. NCBI's taxonomy places the organism in Eukaryota, Metazoa, Mollusca, Bivalvia, Ostreida, Ostreidae.
UAUACUAAUACUUUUAUAAGAUUAUUGUCUUGAAAUAAAGUAACAAAGGUAGCAAGUUUUAAAUUACUCAGUGUUGGUUAUCAUGAUUUUUUUUUUUAUAUGUAAUGAAAUACUGAUAUGCAGAGUAUACAUGUAUAAGGUUGUUAUGUCUUUUCAGAUUAUGGCGAUAAAUCCAUAUUAUCCGGAGAUUGACAGACUUUGAUAAUCACUCAAUGAUUAAUAAGUGACACAAGCUGAAAUCACUUUUAUACACAAGAGAUGGUGAUACUUGGAGAUUCAGACUUGGAUUAACAAUACAUAAAAGCCAUGGAAGACCAGGGAGUGUCAUCAGUGCUGAGUUUGAUGGAUCUGAUCUUUGUCUCUUCCACCCACAUCCUUAUUCAAUGAGAGAUCCUUUUCUCAUAUAAAACUUGUCAAGAAUGGAGAGCAAGGCUGUCCACAGCUUCAUUGAGUGAUAUCAUGGUUAUGAAAAGCUGUUGACACAUUUGAUCCUUCAACAGCUAUAUCAAAAUGUCUGGUAAAAUAU